UAAUAUGAUGAAAAAGAGCUUGUAGCUCGAUUAACCCAGCUCGUCGAGGCGGGAGUAACGCCCCAAUAUGCCGUUGAUAUAAACUCUUUUGCUGAUUA
This 98-nucleotide small nucleolar RNA is filed under the name Schizopora paradoxa. Its description in RNAcentral is "Hyphodontia paradoxa A. fumigatus snoRNA Afu_304". It matches the Rfam family "A. fumigatus snoRNA Afu_304". Lineage: Eukaryota; Fungi; Basidiomycota; Agaricomycetes; Hymenochaetales; Schizoporaceae. The record is from Rfam by way of RNAcentral.